RNAcentral lists this ribosomal RNA (495 nucleotides) under uncultured bacterium. Its description in RNAcentral is "partial 16S ribosomal RNA". It matches the Rfam family "Bacterial small subunit ribosomal RNA", at positions 29 to 506 of the family's 1533-position model. The record is from RNAcentral.
AUGAACGCUGGCGGCGUGCCUCAUACAUGCAAGUCGAGCGAACAGACGAGGAGCUUGCUCCUCUGACGUUAGCGGCGGACGGGUGAGUAACACGUGGAUAACCUACCUAUAAGACUGGGAUAACUUCGGGAAACCGGAGCUAAUACCGGAUAAUAUAUUGAACCGCAUGGUUCAAUAGUGAAAGACGGUUUUGCUGUCACUUAUAGAUGGAUCCGCGCCGCAUUAGCUAGUUGGUAAGGUAACGGCUUACCAAGGCAACGAUGCGUAGCCGACCUGAGAGGGUGAUCGGCCACACUGGAACUGAGACACGGUCCAGACUCCUACGGGAGGCAGCAGUAGGGAAUCUUCCGCAAUGGGCGAAAGCUUGACGGAGCAACGCCGCGUGAGUGAUGAAGGUCUUCGGAUCGUAAAACUCUGUUAUUAGGGAAGAACAAAUGUGUAAGUAACUAUGCACGUCUUGACGGUACCUAAGCAGAAAGCCACGGCUAACUACGU